CAAUAGCGUAUAUUAAAGUUGUUGCAGUUAGAACGCUCGUAGUCGGAUUUCGGGGCGGGGCGACCGGUCUGCCGAUGGGUAUGCACCGGUCGGCGCGUCCUUCCUUCCGGAGACCGUUCCUACUCUUAACUGAGCGGGGGCGGGAGACGGAUCGUUUACUUUGAAAAAAUCAGAGUGUUUCAAGCAGGCAGCUCGCUCUUGCAUGGAUUAGCAUGGGAUAAUGAAAUAGGACUUUGGUGCUAUUUUGUUGGUUUCGAACACCGAAGUAAUGAUUAAAAGGGACAGUCAGGGGCACUCGUAUUCCGCCGAGAGAGGUGAAAUUCUCAGACCAGCGGAAGACGAACCACUGCGAAAGCAUUUGCCAGGGAUGUUUUCACUG
This 379-nucleotide ribosomal RNA is filed under the name uncultured eukaryote. RNAcentral's name for it is "partial 18S ribosomal RNA". It matches the Rfam family "Eukaryotic small subunit ribosomal RNA", at positions 592 to 975 of the family's 1831-position model. The record is from RNAcentral.